AGAGUUUGAUCCUGGCUCAGAUUGAACGCUGGCGGCAGGCCUAACACAUGCAAGUCGAGCGGAUGAGAGGAGCUUGCUCCUUGAUUUAGCGGCGGACGGGUGAGUAAUGCCUAGGAAUCUGCCUGGUAGUGGGGGAUAACGUCCGGAAACGGGCGCUAAUACCGCAUACGUCCUACGGGAGAAAGCAGGGGACCUUCGGGCCUUGCGCUAUCAGAUGAGCCUAGGUCGGAUUAGCUAGUUGGUGAGGUAAUGGCUCACCAAGGCGACGAUCCGUAACUGGUCUGAGAGGAUGAUCAGUCACACUGGAACUGAGACACGGUCCAGACUCCUACGGGAGGCAGCAGUGGGGAAUAUUGGACAAUGGGCGAAAGCCUGAUCCAGCCAUGCCGCGUGUGUGAAGAAGGUCUUCGGAUUGUAAAGCACUUUAAGUUGGGAGGAAGGGCAGUAAGUUAAUACCUUGCUGUUUUGACGUUACCGACAGAAUAGGCACCGGCUAACUUCGUGCCAGCAGCCGCGGUAAUACGAAGGGUGCAAGCGUUAAUCGGAAUUACUGGGCGUAAAGCGCGCGUAGGUGGUUCGUUAAGUUGGAUGUGAAAGCCCCGGGCUCAACCUGGGAACUGCAUCCAAAACUGGCGAGCUAGAGUACGGUAGAGGGUGGUGGAAUUUCCUGUGUAGCGGUGAAAUGCGUAGAUAUAGGAAGGAACACCAGUGGCGAAGGCGACCACCUGGACUGAUACUGACACUGAGGUGCGAAAGCGUGGGGAGCAAACAGGAUUAGAUACCCUGGUAGUCCACGCCGUAAACGAUGUCAACUAGCCGUUGGAAUCCUUGAGAUUUUAGUGGCGCAGCUAACGCAUUAAGUUGACCGCCUGGGGAGUACGGCCGCAAGGUUAAACUCAAAUGAAUUGACGGGGGCCCGCACAGCGGU
Molecule: ribosomal RNA, 928 nt
Filed under: Ectopseudomonas mendocina
Lineage: Bacteria; Pseudomonadati; Pseudomonadota; Gammaproteobacteria; Pseudomonadales; Pseudomonadaceae
Description: bacterial SSU rRNA
Rfam family: Bacterial small subunit ribosomal RNA
Source: RNAcentral